GACGAACGCUGGCGGCGUGCUUAACACAUGCAAGUCGAACGGUAAGGCCCUUCGGGGUACACGAGUGGCGAACGGGUGAGUAACACGUGGGUGAUCUGCCCUGCACUUCGGGAUAAGCCUGGGAAACUGGGUCUAAUACCGGAUAGGACUCCUGGCUUCAUGGUUGGGGGUGGAAAGCUUUUGCGGUGUGGGAUGGGCCCGCGGCCUAUCAGCUUGUUGGUGGGGUAAUGGCCUACCAAGGCGACGACGGGUAGCCGGCCUGAGGGGGCGACCGGUCACACUGGGACUGAGAUACGGCCCAGGCUCCUACGGGAGGCAGCAGUGGGGAAUAUUGCACAAUGGGCGCAAGCCUGAUGCAGCGACGCCGCGUGAGGGAUGACGGCCUUCGGGUUGUAAACCUCUUUCAGCACCGACGAGGCGCAAGUGACGGUAGGUGCAGAAGAAGGACCGGCCAACUACGUGCCAGCCGCGCGGUAA
RNAcentral lists this ribosomal RNA (477 nucleotides) under uncultured bacterium. RNAcentral's name for it is "partial 16S ribosomal RNA". It matches the Rfam family "Bacterial small subunit ribosomal RNA", at positions 28 to 523 of the family's 1533-position model. The record is from RNAcentral.